GACGAACGCUGGCGGCGUGCUUAACACAUGCAAGUCGAACGGAAAGGCCUGCUUUCCCUUGUGGAUUGCGGGUACUCGAGUGGCGAACGGGUGAGUAACACGUGAGUGAUCUGCCCCCAACUUGGGUAUAAGCCUGGGAGACUGGGUCUAAUUCCCGAUAGGACUGCAGGGUGGUGCCUGUGGUGGAAAACGAUUUUCUAGUGGUUGGGGAUGAGCUCGCGGCCUAUCAGCUUGUUGGUGGGGUAAUGGCCUACCAAGGCGGCGACGGGUAGCCGGCCUGAGGGGGUGGACGGCCACAUUGGGACUGAGAUACGGCCCAGACUCCUACGGGAGGCAGCAGUGGGGAAUAUUGCACAAUGGGCGGAAGCCUGAUGCAGCGACGCCGCGUGGGGGAUGACGGCCUUCGGGUUGUAAACUCCUUUCGACCGCGAGGAAGCCACCUGGUUGGAAGGGUGGCGACGGUAGUGGUAGAAGAAGCACCGGCUAACUACGU
This 493-nucleotide ribosomal RNA is filed under the name uncultured bacterium. Its description in RNAcentral is "partial 16S ribosomal RNA". It matches the Rfam family "Bacterial small subunit ribosomal RNA", at positions 28 to 506 of the family's 1533-position model. The record is from RNAcentral.